Molecule: ribosomal RNA, 253 nt
Filed under: uncultured bacterium
Lineage: Bacteria
Description: partial 16S ribosomal RNA
Rfam family: Bacterial small subunit ribosomal RNA
Source: RNAcentral
UACGUAGGGUGCAAGCGUUGUCCGGAAUUAUUGGGCGUAAAGAGCUCGUAGGCGGUUUGUCGCGUCUGCUAUGAAAACCCGAGGCUCAACCUCGGGCCUGCAGUGGGUACGGGCAGACUAGAGUGCGGUAGGGGAGGUUGGAAUUCCUGGUGUAGCGGUGGAAUGCGCAGAUAUCAGGAGGAACACCAAUGGCGAAGGCAGAUCUCUGGGCCGUAACUGACGCUGAGGAGCGAAAGCAUGGGGAGCGAACAGG